RNAcentral lists this ribosomal RNA (770 nucleotides) under uncultured bacterium. RNAcentral describes it as "bacterial SSU rRNA". It matches the Rfam family "Bacterial small subunit ribosomal RNA", at positions 69 to 847 of the family's 1533-position model. The record is from RNAcentral.
UGAAAGAGUUUUCGGACAAUGGAAGUAGAGGAAAGUGGCGGACGGGUGAGUAACGCGUGAGGAACCUGCCUUGAAGAGGGGGACAACAGUUGGAAACGACUGCUAAUACCGCAUGACGCAUAGAGGUCGCAUGAUCUUUAUGCCAAAGAUUUAUCGCUUCAAGAUGGCCUCGCGUCUGAUUAGCUAGUUGGCGGGGUAACGGCCCACCAAGGCGACGAUCAGUAGCCGGACUGAGAGGUUGAACGGCCACAUUGGGACUGAGAUACGGCCCAGACUCCUACGGGAGGCAGCAGUGGGGAAUAUUGGGCAAUGGGCGCAAGCCUGACCCAGCAACGCCGCGUGAAGGAAGAAGGCUUUCGGGUUGUAAACUUCUUUUAAGAGGGAAGAGCAGAAGACGGUACCUCUAGAAUAAGCCACGGCUAACUACGUGCCAGCAGCCGCGGUAAUACGUAGGUGGCAAGCGUUGUCCGGAUUUACUGGGUGUAAAGGGCGUGCAGCCGGGUCUGCAAGUCAGAUGUGAAAUCCAUGGGCUCAACCCAUGAACUGCAUUUGAAACUGUAGAUCUUGAGUGUCGGAGGGGCAAUCGGAAUUCCUAGUGUAGCGGUGAAAUGCGUAGAUAUUAGGAGGAACACCAGUGGCGAAGGCGGAUUGCUGGACGAUAACUGACGGUGAGGCGCGAAAGUGUGGGGAGCAAACAGGAUUAGAUACCCUGGUAGUCCACACUGUAAACGAUGAAUACUAGGUGUGCGGGGACUGACCCCCUGCGUGCC